CAGUCGCCGCGGGAAUACGGAGGGUGCAAGCGUUAAUCGGAAUUACUGGGCGUAAAGCGUGCGCAGGCGGUUUGUUAAGACAGAUGUGAAAUCCCCGGGCUCAACCUGGGAACUGCAUUUGUGACUGGCAAGCUAGAGUCUGGCAGAGGGGGGUGGAAUUCCGCGUGUAGCAGUGAAAUGCGUAGAUAUGCGGAGGAACACCGAUGGCGAAGGCAGCCCCCUGGGCCAACACUGACGCUCAUGCACGAAAGCGUGGGGAGCAAACAGGAUUAGAUACCCCUGUAGUCCCUGUCUCUUAUAA
This 301-nucleotide ribosomal RNA is filed under the name uncultured bacterium. Its description in RNAcentral is "partial 16S ribosomal RNA". It matches the Rfam family "Bacterial small subunit ribosomal RNA", at positions 509 to 809 of the family's 1533-position model. The record is from RNAcentral.